CCCAGAGGUCAUGCCGGCAUGUCCGGUGACCCUUGACCUUUGGGAAGCAAAGGAGAGAGAGGAGCGAUGGGCGUUCCAGGUGCUCAAGGUCUGAGUGGAACCAAAGGAGACAAGGUGUCCCCCAGGGUUGGGUGCUUGGUCCACUUCUCUUCAUUGUACAUGCUCCCCCUCGGUAACAUCAUCCGCCGCCAUCACCUCCAAUUCCACUGCUACACAGAUGAUGUCCAGCUACAUCUCCACAAAAUCUCUCCACCCUGACCGACUGCCUCACUGAAAUCAAAUCAUGGCUGCACUCCAACUUCCUCAAACUCAACUGACAAAUCUGACAUGCUCAUCGUGGGCCCCAAAUCCCUCACCAAAACUGCUCACAACUCUACUCUGUCCCCAUCCACUCACAUCCGCAACCUCGGAGUCAUUCUGGACAAUAAGCUCUCUUUUCAACACCGGGUCAACCACAUCACAAGAACUGCUUUCUUCCACCUCCAAAAUAUUGCCCGUCUCCGUCCAUCCUUCUCUGCCGCUGAAACCCUGAUCCAUGCCUUCAUCACCUCCACACUUGACUACUGUAACGGCAUCCUCUACGACUCAUCUUGCAAAAUUCUCAAACUCCAAUACAUUCAAAACUCUGCCGCCCGCCUGCUCAGCCACACCCGCUCCCGUGAGCACAUCACCCCAGUCCUCCAGAAACUCCACUGGCUCCCCAGUCCUCACCGGAUCCACUUUAAAUCCUCGUCCUCACCCACAAAGCCCUCCACAAGCAGGCCCCCUGCUACCUCACCAACCUGCUUCACCUCCAUACCUUCACGCAGCCUCCGCUCCUCUGAUGCCAACCUGCUCUCCCCACCAUGCAGAACCAAGCUUCGGACCUGGGGUGACAGCUUUCUCCAUCGCUGCUCCCACCCUCUGGAACACUCUUCCCAAACCCAUCCGUGACCAGUGUUGGGUUAGUUACUGAAAACUAGUUACUUUAUUUCAAAAGUAACUCAGUUACUUACACCAAAAAGUAAUGAGUUACUGUGAAAAGUAACUAUUUAAUUAGUUCUAUUUUUCUUUCUUUUUCUAAAGCUCCCAUUAAUGCCCUCUUAGCCUUCAUUUCAGUACUGUUAUUGCACUGGAGAAUAAUACAAUUUGUUGAUCAACUUGACUUUUUGAUUGAUUGAAACUUUUAUUAGAUUGCACAGUACAUAUUCCGUACAAUUGACCACUAAUUGGUAACACCCCAAUAAGUUUUUGAACUUGUUUAAGUCCACGUUAAUCAAUUCAUGGCAUGCAUUUUUAUCUUCCUUUUAACAUAAUUAAUGAAAAACAGUGCAACAUCAAAAGACACUUCUCCUUUCUUUAAACUUGGACCAAUGACCAAUAAUAAAAACCAAGUUAAAGUGCAACAUAAGAAGGCACAUCUUCCUUGAAACAUAGGUAGUGAAAUAAAGCCUCACAUCUGGAGUGAUGCUGCUGUCUUCCACACUUGGAGUCAUGGAUUGUACAAUCCUUGUUUUCAGUGGCAGGAUCAUUGACACAGAUGGUGAAGUUUCAGUGCUCAGUAGAGAUGGAACAGUUCUGAGGGGUUUAAGCACCUGGAGGACCUCCUCUGCCACUCUCAAGUCAUCAUCAGACAGGUUGAUGAUGUCUGACAUUUGUCUUCAGGGUGUUGUGGGUCAAUGCAGAGUAUAUAGCUGCCUGCUGCUCCAACAUAUCACAAAUUGAUUAACGUGGACUUAAACAAUUUGAAAAACUUAUUGGGGUGUUACCAUUUAGUGGUCAAUUGACCACUGAUGGAUGGAAUAUGUACUGUACUGUGCAAUCUACUAAAGUCUCAAUCAAUCAAAAUCAUACUUGAGCAGAGUAGACUUCUUUUAUUUUUCUGUUUUUCGGCUCAUCUUUCAGGCUCUCUGUCCUUUCC
This is a long non-coding RNA of Entelurus aequoreus (snake pipefish), 1900 nucleotides long. RefSeq lists it as uncharacterized. The record is from RefSeq and is a predicted model, not a curated record. The transcript has 3 exons. NCBI's taxonomy places the organism in Eukaryota, Metazoa, Chordata, Actinopteri, Syngnathiformes, Syngnathidae.